RNAcentral lists this ribosomal RNA (566 nucleotides) under uncultured bacterium. RNAcentral describes it as "partial 16S ribosomal RNA". It matches the Rfam family "Bacterial small subunit ribosomal RNA", at positions 355 to 914 of the family's 1533-position model. The record is from RNAcentral.
UGGGGAAUUUUGGACAAUGGGCGAAAGCCUGAUCCAGCAAUGCCGCGUGUGUGAGGAAGGCCUUCGGGUUGUAAAGCACUUUUGUCCGGAAAGAAAUCCUUGGCUCUAAUACAGUCGGGGGAUGACGGUACCGGAAGAAUAAGCACCGGCUAACUACGUGCCAGCAGCCGCGGUAAUACGUAGGGUGCAAGCGUUAAUCGGAAUUACUGGGCGUAAAGCGUGCGCAGGCGGUUUGCUAAGACCGAUGUGAAAUCCCCGGGCUCAACCUGGGAACUGCAUUGGUGACUGGCAGGCUAGAGUAUGGCAGAGGGGGGUAGAAUUCCACGUGUAGCAGUGAAAUGCGUAGAGAUGUGGAGGAAUACCGAUGGCGAAGGCAGCCCCCUGGGCCAAUACUGACGCUCAUGCACGAAAGCGUGGGGAGCAAACAGGAUUAGAUACCCUGGUAGUCCACGCCCUAAACGAUGUCAACUAGUUGUUGGGGAUUCAUUUCCUUAGUAACGUAGCUAACGCGUGAAGUUGACCGCCCGGGGAGUACGGUCGCAAGAUUAAAACUCAAAUGAAUUGAC